AUACGGAGGAUCCGAGCGUUAUCCGGAUUUAUUGGGUUUAAAGGGUGCGUAGGCGGGAGAUUAAGUCGGUGGUGAAAUUUUGCAGCUCAACUGUAAAAGUGCCAUUGAUACUGGUUUCCUUGAGUGUGGAUGAAGUAGGCGGAAUUUGUGGUGUAGCGGUGAAAUGCAUAGAUAUCACGAGGAACUCCGAUUGCGCAGGCAGCUUACUAAACCAUAACUGACGCUCAGGCACGAAGGCGUGGGGAUCAAACAGGAUUAGAUACCCUGGUAGUCCACGCAGUAAACGAUGAUUACUAGCUGUUUGCGAUACAAUGUAAGCGGCUGAGCGAAAGCGUUAAGUAAUCCACCUGGGGAGUACGUUCGCAAGAAUGAAACUCAAAGGAAUUGACGGGG
This 393-nucleotide ribosomal RNA is filed under the name uncultured bacterium. RNAcentral describes it as "partial 16S ribosomal RNA". It matches the Rfam family "Bacterial small subunit ribosomal RNA", at positions 523 to 918 of the family's 1533-position model. The record is from RNAcentral.